This 207-nucleotide ribosomal RNA is filed under the name uncultured bacterium. Its description in RNAcentral is "partial 16S ribosomal RNA". It matches the Rfam family "Bacterial small subunit ribosomal RNA", at positions 568 to 774 of the family's 1533-position model. The record is from RNAcentral.
UGCGUAGGCGGUCAUGUAGGCGUCCUGCGAAAUCCCACGGCUCAACCGUGGAAUUGCGGGGCGAACCACACGACUUGAACCUGGUAGGGGCUGUCGGAACGAUCGGUGGAGCGGUGAAAUGCGUAGAUAUCGAUCGGAACGCCGAAGGUGAAGACGGGCAGCUGGGCCAGUGUUGACGCUGAGGCACGAAAGCGUGGGGAUCAAACA